AAAACUUACAACAACGGAUCUCUUGGUUCUGGCAUCGAUGAAGAACGCAAGCGAAAUGCGAUAAGUAGUGUGAAUUGCAGAAUUCAGUGAAUCAUCGAAUCUUUGAACGCACAUUGCGCCCUGUGGUAUUCCGCAGGGCAUGCCUGUUCGAGCGUCAUUUAACCCCCCUCAAGCUCUGCUUGGUGUUGGGCGUUUGUCCAGCCUUUUUGGCGUGGACUCGCCUUAAAAACAUUGGCAGCCGUCACCCUGGCUUCGAGCGCAGCACAUUUGCGCCCGAUCACUAUGUGGCGGCUCCCCAGAAGCCUAUUUCUUUUUGAUUGACCUCGGAUCAGGUAGGGAUACCCGCUGAACUUAA
RNAcentral lists this ribosomal RNA (355 nucleotides) under uncultured fungus. RNAcentral describes it as "eukaryotic LSU rRNA". The stretch from base 3 to 157 matches the Rfam family "5.8S ribosomal RNA". The record is from RNAcentral. Lineage: Eukaryota; Fungi.